Molecule: long non-coding RNA, 2732 nt
Organism: Siniperca chuatsi (mandarin fish)
Lineage: Eukaryota; Metazoa; Chordata; Actinopteri; Centrarchiformes; Sinipercidae
Exons: 7
Source: RefSeq, a predicted model, not a curated record
UUGACCACUCAACAACUUCUUAUGGCAUGCAUGAAUUGAAGCUGAUGGUUGUCUGUUCAUCAAGUACAAAUAGUGUUAUUGUUUACUUACCGUUGUCAAGACCAUUGAAACUUCAUGAAAAAGAAGGCGGAGUUGGGUGCAAAUGGAUGCAUACUGUGUUUAAGAUGGGCAAAUCUGUGCCAGAAACAUCACAUCCACUGUGACUGGGACACCACACACAAGAUGCCAGAAUUAAACAGCGGGACUAUGGAGAAACUCAUAAGCAAAGAAGAUGACUCACUGCAAGUCUGUCAUAUUGGCCCAACUUGAGCAUUGAGUUGUGCUUGAAUUCAUACUGCUGAUGGAGCUGCAAUGGCAGGCCACCAUGUGGCAAUGAGUUGCAUCAAGAAAAUUCAUUGGAGUCUAAUUGACCACUCAACAACUUCUUAUGGCAUGCAUGAAUUGAAGCUGAUGGUUGUCUGUUCAUCAAGUACAAAUAGUGUUAUUGUUUACUUACCGUUGUCAAGACCAUUGAAACUUCAUGAAAAAGAAGGCGGAGUUGGGUGCAAAUGGAUGCAUACUGUGUUUAAGAUGGGCAAAUCUGUGCCAGAAACAUCACAUCCACUGUGACUGGGACACCACACACAAGAUGCCAGAAUUAAACAGCGGGACUAUGGAGAAACUCAUAAGCAAAGAAGAUGACUCACUGCAAGUCUGUCAUAUUGGCCCAACUUGAGCAUUGAGUUGUGCUUGAAUUCAUACUGCUGAUGGAGCUGCAAUGGCAGGCCACCAUGUGGCAAUGAGUUGCAUCAAGAAAACUCAUUGGAGUCUAAUUGACCACUCAACAACUUCUUAUGGCAUGCAUGAAUUGAAGCUGAUGGUUGUCUGUUCAUCAAGUACAAAUAGUGUUAUUGUUUACUUACCGUUGUCAAGACCAUUGAAACUUCAUGAAAAAGAAGGCGGAGUUGGGUGCAAAUGGAUGCAUACUGUGUUUAAGAUGGGCAAAUCUGUGCCAGAAACAUCACAUCCACUGUGACUGGGACACCACACACAAGAUGCCAGAAUUAAACAGCGGGACUAUGGAGAAACUCAUAAGCAAAGAAGAUGACUCACUGCAAGUCUGUCAUAUUGGCCCAACUUGAGCAUUGAGUUGUGCUUGAAUUCAUACUGCUGAUGGAGCUGCAAUGGCAGGCCACCAUGUGGCAAUGAGUUGCAUCAAGAAAACUCAUUGGAGUCUAAUUGACCACUCAACAACUUCUUAUGGCAUGCAUGAAUUGAAGCUGAUGGUUGUCUGUUCAUCAAGUACAAAUAGUGUUAUUGUUUACUUACCGUUGUCAAGACCAUUGAAACUUCAUGAAAAGAAGGCGGAGUUGGGUGCAAAUGGAUGCAUACUGUGUUUAAGAUGGGCAAAUCUGUGCCAGAAACAUCACAUCCACUGUGACUGGGACACCACACACAAGAUGCCAGAAUUAAACAGCGGGACUAUGGAGAAACUCAUAAGCAAAGAAGAUGACUCACUGCAAGUCUGUCAUAUUGGCCCAACUUGAGCAUUGAGUUGUGCUUGAAUUCAUACUGCUGAUGGAGCUGCAAUGGCAGGCCACCAUGUGGCAAUGAGUUGCAUCAAGAAAACUCAUUGGAGUCUAAUUGACCACUCAACAACUUCUUAUGGCAUGCAUGAAUUGAAGCUGAUGGUUGUCUGUUCAUCAAGUACAAAUAGUGUUAUUGUUUACUUACCGUUGUCAAGACCAUUGAAACUUCAUGAAAAAGAAGGCGGAGUUGGGUGCAAAUGGAUGCAUACUGUGUUUAAGAUGGGCAAAUCUGUGCCAGAAACAUCACAUCCACUGUGACUGGGACACCACACACAAGAUGCCAGAAUUAAACAGCGGGACUAUGGAGAAACUCAUAAGCAAAGAAGAUGACUCACUGCAAGUCUGUCAUAUUGGCCCAACUUGAGCAUUGAGUUGUGCUUGAAUUCAUACUGCUGAUGGAGCUGCAAUGGCAGGCCACCAUGUGGCAAUGAGUUGCAUCAAGAAAACUCAUUGGAGUCUAAUUGACCACUCAACAACUUCUUAUGGCAUGCAUGAAUUGAAGCUGAUGGUUGUCUGUUCAUCAAGUACAAAUAGUGUUAUUGUUUACUUACCGUUGUCAAGACCAUUGAAACUUCAUGAAAAAGAAGGCGGAGUUGGGUGCAAAUGGAUGCAUACUGUGUUUAAGAUGGGCAAAUCUGUGCCAGAAACAUCACAUCCACUGUGACUGGGACACCACACACAAGAUGCCAGAAUUAAACAGCGGGACUAUGGAGAAACUCAUAAGCAAAGAAGAUGACUCACUGCAAGUCUGUCAUAUUGGCCCAACUUGAGCAUUGAGUUGUGCUUGAAUUCAUACUGCUGAUGGAGCUGCAAUGGCAGGCCACCAUGUGGCAAUGAGUUGCAUCAAGAAAACUCAUUGGAGUCUAAUUGACCACUCAACAACUUCUUAUGGCAUGCAUGAAUUGAAGCUGAUGGUUGUCUGUUCAUCAAGUACAAAUAGUGUUAUUGUUUACUUACCGUUGUCAAGACCAUUGAAACUUCAUGAAAAAGAAGGCGGAGUUGGGUGCAAAUGGAUGCAUACUGUGUUUAAGAUGGGCAAAUCUGUGCCAGAAACAUCACAUCCACUGUGACUGGGACACCACACACAAGAUGCCAGAAUUAAACAGCGGGACUAUGGAGAAACUCAUAAGCAAAGAAGAUGACUCACUGCAAGUCUGUCAUAUU